Long non-coding RNA from Drosophila mojavensis, 451 nucleotides. RefSeq lists it as uncharacterized. The record is from RefSeq and is a predicted model, not a curated record. Lineage: Eukaryota; Metazoa; Arthropoda; Insecta; Diptera; Drosophilidae. The transcript is spliced from 2 exons.
AAGCCUUGAGCUAACGCACGUACAUCACGACGCUUCGACGACGACAACAACAACAACAACAACAACAACAACUGUCAUAGCUACAACGACAACAACAAGUUACAUGGAACUUCAGCAGGGACUUGGCCAAUACCUCAACAUGCUCCGCUGGAUCUCUCUCCCACUCGCGCACACAACUACACAAAAAUAACUAAUAGAAAAACAACAUGAGAAUAACAAAGAAAUAAAUAACAAAUAUUCAGAAAAUACAAAAAUAAAAUAAAAGCGCUUAUGAAAUCAAAUGAAGACUGAUAUGUAUGAAAUGUGUAACAAGUGAUAUUCAAACUUGAGCCGAAUCGUGGAUUAGUGCAGACAAAUGUUUUAUGCAAAUCGCGUUUGCCUCAAAACGCCCAACAAUAGCAAUAACAACAACCUCGACAACAACAGCAACCUCAGCAACAACAACCACAAC